UCCCUCGUAGCCCAAUUGGUAGAGGCCGCAGGCUCAGACCCUGCGUCGUGCGAGUUCGAAUCUCGCCGAGGGAAC
This 75-nucleotide transfer RNA is filed under the name Nocardia macrotermitis. RNAcentral's name for it is "tRNA-Leu". It matches the Rfam family "tRNA". Rfam says of the family: Transfer RNA (tRNA) molecules are approximately 80 nucleotides in length. Their secondary structure includes four short double-helical elements and three loops (D, anti-codon, and T loops). Further hydrogen bonds mediate the characteristic L-shaped molecular structure. tRNAs have two regions of fundamental functional importance: the anti-codon, which is responsible for specific mRNA codon recognition, and the 3' end, to which the tRNAs corresponding amino acid is attached (by aminoacyl-tRNA synthetases). tRNAs cope with the degeneracy of the genetic code in two manners: having more than one tRNA (with a specific anti-codon) for a particular amino acid; and 'wobble' base-pairing, i.e. permitting non-standard base-pairing at the 3rd anti-codon position. The record is from RNAcentral. Lineage: Bacteria; Bacillati; Actinomycetota; Actinomycetes; Mycobacteriales; Nocardiaceae.